RNAcentral lists this small RNA (1341 nucleotides) under Rattus norvegicus (Norway rat). RNAcentral's name for it is "uncharacterized LOC102549170". Lineage: Eukaryota; Metazoa; Chordata; Mammalia; Rodentia; Muridae. The record is from RNAcentral.
UACUCCAACAAGGCCACACCUCUAAUCGUGCCACUCCCUUGGCAGAGCAUAUGCAAAGCAUCACAAGGGAGUAACCAAAACCUUUUUAAAGAGUGGAUUUAAGGUCCACUCCGUGAGACUGAAAAUAAGACCAAGAACUAAAGUAGCCUGGGAUGAGACGAGAUAGGUCAUGGGCCGAGGGGAAAACAGUAUUGUCACUCUGCUAAAGGAGCAGAGCAAUACAAUGGCUUAGUAUCAUUCUGCUCCCUCUAUAGAUCAGUGCUGCCCCCAGCCACCAUCACAGAAGCUUCUUCUGGCAGCAGAUGGGAAACAGCACAGCGCUCUACAACCCGACAGUGUGUAGAGAGUAAAGGCCUUUGAAGCACUCAGCCAUAAAUGGACGUCUCUAUCAACCCCCUCAGGCUCGGGGAUCUAUGCGGAGGAGUUGGAAGACUGUAAGAACCAGAAGCAGUGAAUAGCUCCAAGGGAACGGCGUCUUCCAGACACCCGGGGACUGAGGCACAUGUGAACGUGGAGACUAUGACAGCGGAUACAAGACCGCACCGCUUCCAAACAGGCAACGGUCUUAGCACUGGUGACCGGUAUGCAGGAUGUCAUCAGCUGCUAUCCUGGAGGUCCAGCAACUUCUAGGAUGAGGAAAAUAGAUGUCUUACAGACAGUUUGAGCCAAGUUUCAAGCUUCCAGAGAGUGAAUCACAAUACGCCCAGAGGUUCCCAGGAGAACCCCAAGUUCUGAGCCACAGCACUGGGGAAACAGCUGCUGUGAGGGUUGAGAAAUGAGGCAGACCUGGGAAGCAGGAGGAUGAGGAUGCUGGAACAACAGUGCCACCUGUGUGGAGGGACUGCCCAUCACUCUGGGCUUCGGGUACACCGAGGAAGAUCAGGGGGAAACUGGAGUUUCAAACCUGGGCUCGCUGGCUGCAGGCUUUAGCCUGUACAGACACAAUUUUUCACACAGACCCCCUGGACCUGGCUCCCAAAAGCCAACCUUGGGAGAAACGCUCUCUCUCUGACUCAGGACUCUGCCGCUCCUCAGAGAGCAUCCCAGCAUGGUGGCAUCUACUCUUUUGUAUCCCUGGACAAAUACAGGCCUUCCUUGACUGAGCACCCUUCAAUCAAUGGUACGACCUCUGCCAGGUGACACCGUGCACGCUUCCCAGCUGGCGGUGAAAUUAACAAGCCUCCUCUCUCAGAGGCUUGGUUCUAAACAGCUCUGGAGAGCUCCAACCUUCACCUCCCUCGAUGGCCGGUGACCUAGUACAGUUCCGUGGAGAUGACCUGUCCAUUGAGAAACCAUCCCGAUCUCCUCAUAAACGCCCAAUGACGCUCAUCUAGCACAGCC